RNAcentral lists this ribosomal RNA (513 nucleotides) under uncultured Actinomycetes bacterium. Its description in RNAcentral is "bacterial SSU rRNA". It matches the Rfam family "Bacterial small subunit ribosomal RNA", at positions 355 to 858 of the family's 1533-position model. The record is from RNAcentral. Lineage: Bacteria; Bacillati; Actinomycetota; Actinomycetes.
UGGGGAAUCUUGCGCAAUGCGCGAAAGCGUGACGCAGCAACGCCGCGUGGGGGAAGAAGGCCUUCGGGUUGUAAACCCCUUUCAGGAGGGACGAAGGUGUGACGGUGAACAGCCGUUCGCACUGACGGUACCUUCACAAGAAGCCCCGGCUAACUACGUGCCAGCAGCCGCGGUAAUACGUAGGGGGCAAGCGUUGUCCGGAAUCAUUGGGCGUAAAGCGCGCGUAGGCGGCCCGGUAAGUCCGCUCUGAAAGUCCAGGGCUCAACCCUGGAAAGCGGGUGGAUACUGCCGGGCUAGAAUCCGGAAGAGGCGAGUGGAAUUCCUGGUGUAGCGGUGGAAUGCGCAGAUAUCAGGAGGAACACCAAUAGCGAAGGCAGCUCGCUGGGACGGUAUUGACGCUAAGGCGCGAAAGCGUGGGGAGCGAAACAGGAUUAGAUACCCUGGUAGUCCACGCCGUAAACGAUGGGUACUAGGUGUGGGAGGUGUCGACUCCUCCCGUGCCGACGCUAACGC